GACGAACGCUGGCGGUGUGCUUAACACAUGCAAGUCGAACGGAAAGGCCCUGCUUUUGUGGGGUGCUCGAAUGGCGAACGGGUGAGUAACACGUGAGUAACCUGCCCUUGACUUUGGGAUAACUUCAGGAAACUGGGGCUAAUACCGGAUAGGAGCUCCUGCUGCAUGGUGGGGGUUGGAAAGUUUCGGCGGUUGGGGAUGGACUCGCGGCUUAUCAGCUUGUUGGUGGGGUAGUGGCUUACCAAGGCUUUGACGGGUAGCCGGCCUGAGAGGGUGACCGGCCACAUUGGGACUGAGAUACGGCCCAGACUCCUACGGGAGGCAGCAGUGGGGAAUAUUGCACAAUGGGCGGAAGCCUGAUGCAGCAACGCCGCGUGCGGGAUGACGGCCUUCGGGUUGUAAACCGCUUUCGCCUGUGACGAAGCGUGAGUGACGGUAAUGGGUAAAGAAGCACCGGCUAACUACGUG
Molecule: ribosomal RNA, 468 nt
Filed under: uncultured bacterium
Lineage: Bacteria
Description: partial 16S ribosomal RNA
Rfam family: Bacterial small subunit ribosomal RNA
Source: RNAcentral